CUCCUGCAGACCUGUCCACCCUCCUACGUAACUCCUGCUUCACCUUCCACUCGCUUUCCACAGAAAGCACGUUUCGCUGUGAGCUCUACUUCAGUUCUCCUAAACCCCGUCUCCCCUGGCGGAUUCCGUUCACUCUCUAUUGGAGAGACCAGAUCCCUGUCAUCCCCGUGUAGAAUUUAGAAAUAAUAAACUUCUUUUCACCGUU
Molecule: long non-coding RNA, 205 nt
Organism: Girardinichthys multiradiatus
Lineage: Eukaryota; Metazoa; Chordata; Actinopteri; Cyprinodontiformes; Goodeidae
Exons: 2
Source: RefSeq, a predicted model, not a curated record